GACGAACGCGGCGGCGUGCUUAACACAUGCAAGUCGAACGGAGCGAUUUAUUUCGGUAAAUCGCUUAGUGGCAAACGGGUGAGUAAUGCGUAGGCAACCUGCCCUCAGGAUGGGGACAACGGCUCGAAAGAGCCGCUAAUACCGAAUAACGUAGCUCUUCCACAUGGAAGAGAUACUAAAGAUGGGUCAAACCAUCGCCUAAGGAUGGGCCUGCGUCUGAUUAGCCAGUUGGUGAGGUAACGGCUCACCAAAGCGACGAUCAGUAGCCGGUCUGAGAGGAUGAACGGCCACAAUGGGACUGAGACACGGCCCAUACUCCUACGGGAGGCAGCAGUGGGGAAUCUUCCGCAAUGGGCGAAAGCCUGACGGAGCAACGCCGCGUGAGUGAAGAAGGUCUUCGGAUCGUAAAGCUCUGUUGUCGGGGACGAAAGGGUAGACGAGGUAAUGCGUUAAUAAG
This 457-nucleotide ribosomal RNA is filed under the name Veillonellaceae bacterium oral taxon 155. RNAcentral's name for it is "bacterial SSU rRNA". It matches the Rfam family "Bacterial small subunit ribosomal RNA", at positions 28 to 476 of the family's 1533-position model. The record is from RNAcentral. Lineage: Bacteria; Bacillati; Bacillota; Negativicutes; Veillonellales; Veillonellaceae.